AAAUUACUGUACAGCCAGCAAUUGGAGAAUUUAUGGAGAGUUUCCGGCUUGAAGUCCAUUUUUGUGUGAGGAGGUGGGUUGGGGAGACUAGCGUUGGAAGGAUGCCUUUUAAGGAUGCAUUCUAUCAGGAGCUGGAUAUCAGAGCAACUUGGGAGAAAUAGGAAACAGGUGCAGAAACAGAUGGUGUGUUUCUCCAGGGUGCUUAUCUUCCGUGGGAUGACUCAGUAAUCCACGCUGCUUUGAUUUUGUGGCUCCACUGUCUCAAUGUUCAGCAUUCACAGUCUCUGCUCUCUCUGUGGAGGGGGAAGUGCAGCCCGCCGACAACUCAGACCUACUCUCAUGCUGCUUCUGCUCACAGCCCCAUUGGGCCAGAACUGGUCACGCAGUCCUGCCUGACUGCAAGACUGUGUGCCCAGGAAGAGGGGGAGAAGUGGAUACUGGUGAUCACAAGUAAUGUCUACGACAGUGACAACAAGAAGAAGACUGUGGUCAAAUAAGUUUGGAAAACCCCAGGUUGACUGAAAUUCUACAAAUCUCCUCAUGUUAGGAAUUCUCAAUGCCUUUACUCCACUGACGUUGUUGUGAAUGACCAAAAUCGAGACAUUGUGGGCCAUCUGUCUUUCCUACGGUUAUACAUGUCUCUCUCACUUAAGGACCAUAGCUCUCCAGAGCACACUUGGGAGAUACUCUUUGCUGUCUCUCUCUGAGGACCAGGUUUUCCCUGCACAGGGUCCAGGAUUCAGAUACCUUAGGGUGAGCAAAACAAAUAAAAUUUUUCUCUAGAGAUUUAUCUCUGUCUAGGAGUCCCAUAGGUUAAAUAAGCCCUGCACAAUGCCCAAAGCCAGGGUGCCAGCCUGUAUACAGCUGGGUGUAAAACAGGUAGGCCCCACACUUCAGAGUAAGUACAAGACAAUUGUCUUCAAAACAGCUAGCCUCCUUUUUUUGUACUCUUCAUGAUUUAGUGACAUCUAUUUCAGUUCAGCCAUCCUGAUUUCUACUUUAUUUUUUUCUCUCCUGGUAAAACCUAGAGGAACUGGGCUUCAACUCAAUGGUACUGAGUUGUCACUUUGACCAGGUACAGUUUUCAAGCAAGGAGUUUCAGGCACAUGGCACAGUUUGCAGGAGUGGUGUGGGAAGGGGAGUGGACGGUAGUGUGGGGGAGUAAAGGCAAAGAGGACAUGUAUUUUCCUUGAAAUGGAAGCCACCAAGGCUUGCCUUGGAGGUUGCUAUGGACUGAACCGUGUCCUCUCAAAAUUCAUAGGUUGAAGUCCUAACCCUUAAUGUGACUGUAUUUGGAGAUAAUUAAUGUUAAGUAAGUUCAUAAGGGGUGGAAGGCUAGUCCAAUAGGGUUGAUGGCCUUAGGAGAAGAAGAGCUCUCUCUCUCUCUCUCUUACUCUCUC
This 1400-nucleotide long non-coding RNA is filed under the name Equus caballus (horse). RNAcentral's name for it is "lncRNA (ENSECAG00000058671.1)". The record is from RNAcentral. Lineage: Eukaryota; Metazoa; Chordata; Mammalia; Perissodactyla; Equidae.